This 157-nucleotide unclassified non-coding RNA is filed under the name uncultured Clonostachys. Its description in RNAcentral is "sequence contains ITS1". The record is from RNAcentral. Lineage: Eukaryota; Fungi; Ascomycota; Sordariomycetes; Hypocreales; Bionectriaceae.
UCGAGUUUACAACUCCCAAACCCAUGUGAACAUACCUAUCGUUGCUUCGGCGGGAUCGCCCCGGGCGCCUUGCGUGCCCCGGAUCCAGGCACCCGCCGGGGGACCUUAACUCUUGUUUUAUUUUGAAUCAUCUGAGUAGUUUUUUACAAAUAAAUAA